UUUUCCGGUUACUUAACAUCUCUGUGCCUCUCUCUCCCCGUGUGUCCCUUUAGACAACGGUCCUGGGGCAGGCCAAUUUGGGCCCAGAAGUGUACAGGACAGGAAGCACGGCAAAGGCCUGGAAAGACCAAGAAUGCUCAAAGCAAGAAAAUCAGGAGGGCUUGUGAGAUCACAAAAAUCGAUGCCUUUGUUGUGAGAUCACCAAUUCCUUGAGUAGAGAGGAGCAAACCCUCUGGUUAUUACAGAGGAGACCAGCCUGCAGCUUGGGAGGAUUCUAAUUUGUCCCCACGAUGUUGCUAACAGGAGCGACACAUUUCAUGUGCUAGCAACAUGGUCUGCAUAUAUAAUGCGACGGCAGCAGCUUGGGACAGCAGGCUUCCCAGGAUAAUGAACAAUCUUACAUCAGGCCUUCGUUCACCUUCACUAGGCGAGAUGUGCGAAGAUCUUGCCGUAAGAGCAUUCGCGCUAAGCGUGCGGCAACACGGG
Molecule: long non-coding RNA, 486 nt
Organism: Herpailurus yagouaroundi (jaguarundi)
Lineage: Eukaryota; Metazoa; Chordata; Mammalia; Carnivora; Felidae
Exons: 3
Source: RefSeq, a predicted model, not a curated record